ACUUCUCAACCUAAAAUGUUGCAUUUUUGAAUUUGCCAGGUGCUCGAAGCAGACAAAUGUAACGUGAAAGCUUUGUACAGAAGAGCUCAAGCAAGGCUGGCUUUGAUGGAAUACGAUAAAGCACUGGAAGACAUUAACAAUGCCUCUAUUUUGCUACCAAACGAUAAGAAUAUUCAGGAAGUCCAACGUGAAGCUAAAAAAGUCAAAUUGAUGUACCUGAAAAAUGAAAAAAAAUUCUAUGCUAAAGUAUUCAGUUAAUGUGUUGGUAAUAGUUUCUGUCAAUCGCCAAAACUGAAAUGCUUUGUUUUUUAACCGAAUAUAGAAAAGAGGUACAUAAUAUGUGAUUGAUACAAUAGCAUUCAAACAACAUCUAAAGUUCCAUGUCUAUUUUUCUACAAUAUCAGCGCUUGGAGGGGGGCACCUUUUUGUCUUUUUGGCCGCAGCCUUCAGCCAAGUACACUUGCCAUGAUCCCCUGACCUAAGCUCUAGGGAUUUCAGGGUUCAUUACCAGUUCGUUUGCCACAGUAGGUGCUUUGUAUUGGAUCUCCAUCAAGUAACGGCCAAAUCAAUCAGAAAA
Leptinotarsa decemlineata (Colorado potato beetle) is the source of this 577-nucleotide long non-coding RNA. The record is from RefSeq and is a predicted model, not a curated record. NCBI's taxonomy places the organism in Eukaryota, Metazoa, Arthropoda, Insecta, Coleoptera, Chrysomelidae.